RNAcentral lists this non-coding RNA (109 nucleotides) under unclassified sequences. The record is from RNAcentral.
GGCAGACCGGUUAAAGUCUGCCCUUGUUAAUGCAGCCCAAAAGGAAAAUGAAUUGAAAAAAUGAAUUUUCUUCUGGAUGGUCACAAGCCCAUAAAAAUGCAGAGUGGCA